RNAcentral lists this ribosomal RNA (484 nucleotides) under Cambarus tenebrosus. RNAcentral's name for it is "partial 16S ribosomal RNA". It matches the Rfam family "Bacterial large subunit ribosomal RNA", at positions 1944 to 2642 of the family's 2925-position model. The record is from RNAcentral. Lineage: Eukaryota; Metazoa; Arthropoda; Malacostraca; Decapoda; Cambaridae.
GACCGUGCGAAGGUAGCAUAAUCAUUAGUUUUUUAAUUGAAGGCUAGAAUGAAUGGUUGGACAAGAAAUAAUCUGUCUUAGAUUAAUAUAUUGAAUUUAACUUUUAAGUGAAAAGGCUUAAAUAAUCUGAAGGGACGAUAAGACCCUAUAAAACUUUAUAUUGAAAAGUGGUGGGUAUGGUUUGUUUAAAAGAUUAUUACUUUAAAGUAUUUGGUUGGGGUGACAAGAAUAGAAUAGAAACUAACUGUUUUUUAUUUUUACAAUGAUGUUUGAGUUAGUGAUCCUAAAAUGGAUUAGAGAUUAAGUUACUUUAGGGAUAACAGCGUAAUUUUCUUUAAGAGUUCUUAUCGAUAAGAAAGUUUGCGACCUCGAUGUUGAAUUAAAGGUUCUUUAUGGAGUAGAGACUAUAAAAGAAGGUCUGUUCGACCUUUAAAACUUUACAUGAUUUGAGUUCAGACCGGUGUGAGCCAGGUUGGUUUCUAUC